GGAAAUUGUCCUUUGCUCAUAAUGGCGACUCUGGAUUCCGGAAACAAACAUUAAUAGACCAACUCGGAAAGAAGGCCACUUUGAAAGAUUUUGACUACCCUCUGCAUCUAAAUUUAUUAAAAGGAACACCCUUCUUACUUUUCAAAGUUCUUUUAGCAUUAUGAGCUUACUUAUUUUUCCUUAUAUCCAUUAUCUCCCAAAAAAGGUUGUCCCACCCUCUCAGCCCUGAUUAUUACCAUUACAAUUAUUGCUUCCAACAUUUUCCUCAAUUCUUUGAGUAUGCGUACAAGGAUAUUAACUUUUCAGUAUAACCAAGUUUUGGGCAGCUUCUGUUGAUCAGACGGCCACUAUUGGACUCCCCUGGUGUUGUGAUGCCGACCUGUGGUGCGUUCCUCCUUUCUGGUCUAGGGAGAUGUCACAGAAUCCCUUAGAUUAGGGUUUCUGCUCCGGGGAAUUUAGAAAGAAAAGGAGA
Molecule: unclassified non-coding RNA, 472 nt
Filed under: Hevea brasiliensis (rubber tree)
Lineage: Eukaryota; Viridiplantae; Streptophyta; Magnoliopsida; Malpighiales; Euphorbiaceae
Source: RNAcentral